This 274-nucleotide unclassified non-coding RNA is filed under the name fungal sp. RNAcentral's name for it is "partial internal transcribed spacer region". The stretch from base 1 to 46 matches the Rfam family "Eukaryotic small subunit ribosomal RNA", at positions 1786 to 1831 of the family's 1831-position model. The record is from RNAcentral. Lineage: Eukaryota; Fungi.
AAGUCGUAACAAGGUUUCCGUAGGUGAACCUGCGGAAGGAUCAUUAACACGAUCUAAAAACUUUACAAACCCGUGUGAACCUGUGGUUCUGCAAAAAAGAGAUUGAUAGAGGAGCUUCGCGCUCCUUUAUUUUUCUUCUUUUUUUCUUACCCUUUAUUUUUUCCUACCCUGAAACCAAAAACCCCCUUGUGGGGGGCAUCAAAAACCAUAAUUCGAAAAACGAAACCUAAAAACAAAACACAUAACUCUUAGCAAUGGAUAUCUUGGUUCCCGC